RNAcentral lists this ribosomal RNA (460 nucleotides) under uncultured bacterium. Its description in RNAcentral is "partial 16S ribosomal RNA". It matches the Rfam family "Bacterial small subunit ribosomal RNA", at positions 338 to 795 of the family's 1533-position model. The record is from RNAcentral.
CCUACGGGAGGCAGAAGUGAGGAAUAUUGGUCAAUGGACGAGAGUCUGAACCAGCCAAGUAGCGUGAAGGAUGACUGCCCUAUGGGUUGUAAACUUCUUUUAUAUGGGAAUAAAACGUUCCACGUGUGGGAUUUUGUAUGUACCCUAUGAAUAAGGAUCGGCUAACUCCGUGCCAGCAGCCGCGGUAAUACGGAGGAUCCGAGCGUUAUCCGGAUUUAUUGGGUUUAAAGGGUGCGUAGGUGGAUUGUUAAGUCAGUUGUGAAAGUUUGCGGCUCAACCGUAAAAUUGCAGUUGAAACUGGCAGUCUUGAGUACAGUAGAGGUGGGCGGAAUUCGUGGUGUAGCGGUGAAAUGCUUAGAUAUCACGAAGAACUCCGAUUGCGAAGGCAGUUCACUGGACUGCAACUGACACUGAGGCUCGAAAGUGUGGGUAUCAAACAGGAUUAGAUACCCUUGUAGUC